RNAcentral lists this transfer RNA (69 nucleotides) under Ovis aries (sheep). It matches the Rfam family "tRNA". Rfam says of the family: Transfer RNA (tRNA) molecules are approximately 80 nucleotides in length. Their secondary structure includes four short double-helical elements and three loops (D, anti-codon, and T loops). Lineage: Eukaryota; Metazoa; Chordata; Mammalia; Artiodactyla; Bovidae. The record is from Rfam by way of RNAcentral.
CCCGAUAGCUCAGUUGGUAAAGAAUCUGCCUUCAAUGCAGAAGACCUGGGUUUGAUCCCUGAGUUGGGA